RNAcentral lists this ribosomal RNA (465 nucleotides) under uncultured bacterium. RNAcentral describes it as "partial 16S ribosomal RNA". It matches the Rfam family "Bacterial small subunit ribosomal RNA", at positions 28 to 507 of the family's 1533-position model. The record is from RNAcentral.
GACGAACGCUGGCGGCGUGCUUAACACAUGCAAGUCGAACGGAAAGGCCCUGCUUGCCGGGUACUCGAGUGGCGAACGGGUGAGUAACACGUGGGUGAUCUGCCCUGCACUUCGGGAUAAGCCUGGGAAACUGGGUCUAAUACCGGAUAGGAGCCAUUUUUAGUGUGAUGGUUGGAAAGUUUUUUCGGUGUAGGAUGAGCUCGCGGCCUAUCAGCUUGUUGGUGGGGUAAUGGCCUACCAAGGCGGCGACGGGUAGCCAGCCUGAGAGGGUGGACGGCCACAUUGGGACUGAGAUACGGCCCAGACUCCUACGGGAGGCAGCAGUGGGGAAUAUUGCACAAUGGGCGCAAGCCUGAUGCAGCGACGCCGCGUGGGGGAUGACGGCCUUCGGGUUGUAAACUCCUUUCGCUAGGGACGAAGCUUUUUGUGACGGUACCUAGAUAAGAAGCACCGGCUAACUACGUG